Molecule: ribosomal RNA, 598 nt
Filed under: Staphylococcus sp. HMSC064E11
Lineage: Bacteria; Bacillati; Bacillota; Bacilli; Caryophanales; Staphylococcaceae
Description: bacterial SSU rRNA
Rfam family: Bacterial small subunit ribosomal RNA
Source: RNAcentral
GGUUUAAUUCGAAGCAACGCGAAGAACCUUACCAAAUCUUGACAUCCUCUGACCCCUCUAGAGAUAGAGUUUUCCCCUUCGGGGGACAGAGUGACAGGUGGUGCAUGGUUGUCGUCAGCUCGUGUCGUGAGAUGUUGGGUUAAGUCCCGCAACGAGCGCAACCCUUAAGCUUAGUUGCCAUCAUUAAGUUGGGCACUCUAAGUUGACUGCCGGUGACAAACCGGAGGAAGGUGGGGAUGACGUCAAAUCAUCAUGCCCCUUAUGAUUUGGGCUACACACGUGCUACAAUGGACAAUACAAAGGGCAGCGAAACCGCGAGGUCAAGCAAAUCCCAUAAAGUUGUUCUCAGUUCGGAUUGUAGUCUGCAACUCGACUAUAUGAAGCUGGAAUCGCUAGUAAUCGUAGAUCAGCAUGCUACGGUGAAUACGUUCCCGGGUCUUGUACACACCGCCCGUCACACCACGAGAGUUUGUAACACCCGAAGCCGGUGGAGUAACCAUUUGGAGCUAGCCGUCGAAGGUGGGACAAAUGAUUGGGGUGAAGUCGUAACAAGGUAGCCGUAUCGGAAGGUGCGGCUGGAUCACCUCCUUUCUAAGGA